Molecule: long non-coding RNA, 388 nt
Organism: Suricata suricatta (meerkat)
Lineage: Eukaryota; Metazoa; Chordata; Mammalia; Carnivora; Herpestidae
Exons: 2
Source: RefSeq, a predicted model, not a curated record
AGUCCUCACGGUUCCCCAACAACAACUUGGACACCUCCAGACUGGUGAAGGCCUCCAAUGCCCUCAACGCCCUUGUCAAAGAGUGAGGGCUCUAUGGGGGAGAGGAGGACAGCCCUUGAAUGGACCACAUCAGUUGGAUGAGGAUCGCUGUUUAGGGGAGCAAUGUGGAAGCCACUCGGUGAAGCCAGUGCAUGGACUCAUGACGCAUCUCAUCAUUUUCUGAAUCCAGAGUGUCCUCAUUUCAACUGGAAUACUAAACAUAAUGACUAUGGUGGAGGCCGUGAGUUGUCUCUAAAUAUCCAUCUUUCUCUUUCCACAUUAAUAGAACCCUCCCCCCUCCCUAUUUUUAGUCUGCCCGUGGCAAUCUGGAAUAAAGGCCAUUUCCCAA